RNAcentral lists this long non-coding RNA (649 nucleotides) under Citrus x clementina. RNAcentral describes it as "Citrus clementina (C. clementina) long non-coding RNA (CCLE_LNC001690)". Lineage: Eukaryota; Viridiplantae; Streptophyta; Magnoliopsida; Sapindales; Rutaceae. The record is from RNAcentral.
CGCGGCCUAUUUUUGGCACACGGAGACGCCUCGCAAAGUCUAGCGCCAUUCCGAGUCCGGCGGAAGAAGUUGGCCAGCCCCACCCCCCAAGCCUAUAGCCCACCCGUAUUUGUGGCCUUUUUCCGCUGGACGAACUUGGCGCCCCGGCCUUCGGGCGGUUAUUUCUUGGUGCGGCAGUGCCCGUGGCCUAUUUUUGGCGCACGGAGGCGCCUCACAAAGUCUCGGGCCAUUCCGAGUCCGGCGGACGAAGUUGGCCAGCCCCACCUCCCAAGGCUAUAGCCCACCCGUAUUUGUGGCCUUUUUGCGCUGGACGAACUUGGCGCCCCGGCCUUCGGGUGGUUAUUUCUUGGCGCGGCAGUGCCCGCGGCCUAUUUUUGGCACACGGAGGCGCCUCACAAAGUCUCGGGCCAUUCCGAGUCCGGCGGACGAAGUUGGCCAGCCCCACCCCCCAAGGCUAUAGCCCACCCGUAUUUGUGGCCUUUUUCCGCUGGACGAACUUGGCGCCCCGGCCUUCGGGCGGUUAUUUUUGGGCGCGGCUGUGCCCGCGGCCUAUUUUUGGCACACGGAGGCGCCUGGCAAAGUCUCGCGCCAUUCCGAGUCCGGCGGACGAAGUUGGCCAGGCCCACCCCCCAAGGCUAUUGCCCACCCG